RNAcentral lists this ribosomal RNA (440 nucleotides) under uncultured bacterium. Its description in RNAcentral is "bacterial SSU rRNA". It matches the Rfam family "Bacterial small subunit ribosomal RNA", at positions 338 to 795 of the family's 1533-position model. The record is from RNAcentral.
CCUACGGGGGGCUGCAGUAAGGAAUCUUCCGCAAUGCACGAAAGUGUGACGGAGCGACGCCGCGUGCUGGAUGAAGUCCUUCGGGAUGUAAACAGCUGUCAAGGGUAAGAAAGUUCUGAUCUAUCCGAGAGGAAGUGGCGACUAACUCUGUGCCAGCAGUCGCGGUAAUACAGAGGCCACAAGCGUUAGGCGGAAUCACUGGGCUUAAAGCGUGUGUAGGCGGAUGUCUAAGUACCUUGUGAAAUCCCACAGCUCAACUGUGGAACUGCUGGGUAUACUGGAUGUCUUGAGGUAUUCAGGGGCAACCGGAACAAAUGGUGGAGCGGUGAAAUGCGUAGAUAUCAUUUGGAACGCCUGUGGUGAAGACGGGUUGCUGGGAAUAUUCUGACGCUGAGACACGAAAGCCAGGGGAGCAAACGGGAUUAGAUACCCCAGUAGUC